AAACCUUUAAAAAAACAAGAAUAAAAGCAAUCUUUUCAUCUGCAUAACGAUUGUCUUGUUUGUUUUUCAAAAAGUUUUUCAUCUCUAAAUCAUUAUGCAGGUUGUUUCUCAAACCCAUUGGACAUAAUGAUCGGACGUCAUCUCCCAAUUUUGAAUUCCUUGUAUUCGAAGCGGACGAAGAUGAUGUUGAAGGGAUUCCUGACGAGAUUUCCCGACUUC
This 219-nucleotide long non-coding RNA is filed under the name Lathyrus oleraceus (garden pea). Its description in RNAcentral is "Pisum sativum (pea) long non-coding RNA (PSAT_LNC041530)". The record is from RNAcentral. Lineage: Eukaryota; Viridiplantae; Streptophyta; Magnoliopsida; Fabales; Fabaceae.